This 2906-nucleotide ribosomal RNA is filed under the name Enterobacter roggenkampii. RNAcentral describes it as "23S ribosomal RNA". It matches the Rfam family "Bacterial large subunit ribosomal RNA". Lineage: Bacteria; Pseudomonadati; Pseudomonadota; Gammaproteobacteria; Enterobacterales; Enterobacteriaceae. The record is from RNAcentral.
GGUUAAGCGACUAAGCGUACACGGUGGAUGCCCUGGCAGUCAGAGGCGAUGAAGGACGUGCUAAUCUGCGAAAAGCGCCGGCGAGGUGAUAUGAACCUUUGACCCGGCGAUGUCCGAAUGGGGAAACCCAGUGUGAUUCGUCACACUAUCGUUAACUGAAUACAUAGGUUAACGAGGCGAACCGGGGGAACUGAAACAUCUAAGUACCCCGAGGAAAAGAAAUCAACCGAGAUUCCCCCAGUAGCGGCGAGCGAACGGGGAGCAGCCCAGAGUCUGAAUCAGCUUGUGUGUUAGUGGAAGCGUCUGGAAAGUCGCACGGUACAGGGUGACAGUCCCGUACACGAAAAUGCACAGGUUGUGAACUCGAAGAGUAGGGCGGGACACGUGGUAUCCUGUCUGAAUAUGGGGGGACCAUCCUCCAAGGCUAAAUACUCCUGACUGACCGAUAGUGAACCAGUACCGUGAGGGAAAGGCGAAAAGAACCCCGGCGAGGGGAGUGAAAUAGAACCUGAAACCGUGUACGUACAAGCAGUGGGAGCACCUUCGUGGUGUGACUGCGUACCUUUUGUAUAAUGGGUCAGCGACUUAUAUUCUGUAGCAAGGUUAACCGUAUAGGGGAGCCGAAGGGAAACCGAGUCUUAACUGGGCGUUAAGUUGCAGGGUAUAGACCCGAAACCCGGUGAUCUAGCCAUGGGCAGGUUGAAGGUUGGGUAACACUAACUGGAGGACCGAACCGACUAAUGUUGAAAAAUUAGCGGAUGACUUGUGGCUGGGGGUGAAAGGCCAAUCAAACCGGGAGAUAGCUGGUUCUCCCCGAAAGCUAUUUAGGUAGCGCCUCGUGAACUCAUCUUCGGGGGUAGAGCACUGUUUCGGCUAGGGGGCCAUCCCGGCUUACCAACCCGAUGCAAACUACGAAUACCGAAGAAUGUUAUCACGGGAGACACACGGCGGGUGCUAACGUCCGUCGUGAAGAGGGAAACAACCCAGACCGCCAGCUAAGGUCCCAAAGUCAUGGUUAAGUGGGAAACGAUGUGGGAAGGCACAGACAGCCAGGAUGUUGGCUUAGAAGCAGCCAUCAUUUAAAGAAAGCGUAAUAGCUCACUGGUCGAGUCGGCCUGCGCGGAAGAUGUAACGGGGCUAAACCAUGCACCGAAGCUGCGGCAGCGACGCUUAUGCGUUGUUGGGUAGGGGAGCGUUCUGUAAGCCGUUGAAGGUGGCCUGUGAGGGUUGCUGGAGGUAUCAGAAGUGCGAAUGCUGACAUAAGUAACGAUAAAGCGGGUGAAAAGCCCGCUCGCCGGAAGACCAAGGGUUCCUGUCCAACGUUAAUCGGGGCAGGGUGAGUCGACCCCUAAGGCGAGGCCGAAAGGCGUAGUCGAUGGGAAACAGGUUAAUAUUCCUGUACUUGGUGUUACUGCGAAGGGGGGACGGAGAAGGCUAUGUUAGCCGGGCGACGGUUGUCCCGGUUUAAGCAUGUAGGCGGAACGAUUAGGUAAAUCCGGUCGUUUUUUAACGCUGAGGUGUGAUGACGAGGCACUACGGUGCUGAAGUAACAAAUGCCCUGCUUCCAGGAAAAGCCUCUAAGCAUCAGGUAACAUCAAAUCGUACCCCAAACCGACACAGGUGGUCAGGUAGAGAAUACCAAGGCGCUUGAGAGAACUCGGGUGAAGGAACUAGGCAAAAUGGUGCCGUAACUUCGGGAGAAGGCACGCUGAUAUGUAGGUGAAGCCCCUGCGGGUGGAGCUGAAAUCAGUCGAAGAUACCAGCUGGCUGCAACUGUUUAUUAAAAACACAGCACUGUGCAAACACGAAAGUGGACGUAUACGGUGUGACGCCUGCCCGGUGCCGGAAGGUUAAUUGAUGGGGUUAGCGGCAACGCGAAGCUCUUGAUCGAAGCCCCGGUAAACGGCGGCCGUAACUAUAACGGUCCUAAGGUAGCGAAAUUCCUUGUCGGGUAAGUUCCGACCUGCACGAAUGGCGUAAUGAUGGCCAGGCUGUCUCCACCCGAGACUCAGUGAAAUUGAACUCGCUGUGAAGAUGCAGUGUACCCGCGGCAAGACGGAAAGACCCCGUGAACCUUUACUAUAGCUUGACACUGAACACUGGUCCUUGAUGUGUAGGAUAGGUGGGAGGCUUUGAAGCGUGGACGCCAGUCUGCGUGGAGCCGUCCUUGAAAUACCACCCUUUAAUGGCUGGUGUUCUAACGUAGACCCGUAAUCCGGGUUGCGGACAGUGUCUGGUGGGUAGUUUGACUGGGGCGGUCUCCUCCCAAAGAGUAACGGAGGAGCACGAAGGUUAGCUAAUCCUGGUCGGACAUCAGGAGGUUAGUGCAAUGGCAUAAGCUAGCUUGACUGCGAGAGUGACGGCUCGAGCAGGUGCGAAAGCAGGUCAUAGUGAUCCGGUGGUUCUGAAUGGAAGGGCCAUCGCUCAACGGAUAAAAGGUACUCCGGGGAUAACAGGCUGAUACCGCCCAAGAGUUCAUAUCGACGGCGGUGUUUGGCACCUCGAUGUCGGCUCAUCACAUCCUGGGGCUGAAGUAGGUCCCAAGGGUAUGGCUGUUCGCCAUUUAAAGUGGUACGCGAGCUGGGUUUAGAACGUCGUGAGACAGUUCGGUCCCUAUCUGCCGUGGGCGCUGGAGAAUUGAGGGGGGCUGCUCCUAGUACGAGAGGACCGGAGUGGACGCAUCACUGGUGUUCGGGUUGUCAUGCCAAUGGCACUGCCCGGUAGCUAAAUGCGGAAAAGAUAAGUGCUGAAAGCAUCUAAGCACGAAACUUGCCCCGAGAUGAGUUCUCCCUGAGACUUUAAGUCUCCUGAAGGAACGUUGAAGACGACGACGUUGAUAGGUCGGGUGUGUAAGCGCAGCGAUGCGUUGAGCUAACCGAUACUAAUGAACCGUGAGGCUUAACCUU